AGCAUCCAGGCAACAUGUAGUCUACACUACACAGAUGGUCUUGACAGAAUUGAAUCGCGUUUUAGAAUUUAUCAAUUACGAUAGUAGCUUGGUGCAGCCGUAAAAAAUCAUCCAGCCCAAACUAGGGACUUCUGAAUAUGAAGGAAUAACUACCACACAAGGAUGGACUUGAAGUUUAUCAUCACAAUAAACAACAGGGUCAUUGGUCUCAGUAAGGGAUGAUUAAUCCGAAUUAAUUGGCUAACAAUUGGAUAUUCGGACAUGAACAUCUCCAGCAUUCAGUACAGAUCA
This 291-nucleotide unclassified non-coding RNA is filed under the name Hevea brasiliensis (rubber tree). The record is from RNAcentral. Lineage: Eukaryota; Viridiplantae; Streptophyta; Magnoliopsida; Malpighiales; Euphorbiaceae.